RNAcentral lists this ribosomal RNA (1232 nucleotides) under uncultured organism. RNAcentral's name for it is "bacterial SSU rRNA". It matches the Rfam family "Bacterial small subunit ribosomal RNA", at positions 202 to 1414 of the family's 1533-position model. The record is from RNAcentral.
UAAAGGUGGCCUCUUCUAUGCUGCCGGGUUGGGAUCGGCCCGCGUCCCAUUAGCUAGUUGGUGAGGUAACGGCUCACCAAGGCCACGAUGGGUAGCCGGCCUGAGAGGGUGUACGGCCACACUGGCACUGAGACGGGGGGCCAGUCCCCUAUGGGAGGCGCAGGCGGGAAUAGUUCACAAUGGGCGAAAGCCUGAUGACGCGACGCCGCGUGAGCGAAGAAGACCUUCGGGUUGUAAAGCUCUGUCAGGAGGGAAGAAGGCUCUACGGGUCAAUAGCCCGUGGGAUUGACGGUACCUCCAGAGGAAGCCCCGGCUAAAUACGUGCCAGCAGCCGCGGUAAUACGUAUGGGGCAAGCGUUGUCCGGAUUUACUGGGCGUAAAGGGCGCGUAGGCGGUUUGUUAAGUCGAAGGUGAAAUCCUCGGGCUCAACUCGAGAAUUGCCUUCGAUACUGGCAAACUAGAGUGGCGGAGAGGAAAGCGGAACUCUUGGUGUAACGGUGGAAUGUGUAGAUGUCAAGAGGAACACCGGUGGCGAAGGCGGCUUUCUGGACGCACACUGACGCUCAGGCGCGAAAGCGUGGGUAGCAAACAGGAUUAGAUACCCUGGUAGUCCACGCCAUAAACGAUGGGUACUAGGUGUCGGGGGUAUCGACCCCUCCGGUGCCGCAGUUAACGCACUAAGUACCCCGCCUGGGGAUUAUGGUCGCAAGGCUGAAACUCAAAGGAAUUGACGGGGCCCCGCACAAGCGGUGGAGCAUGUGGUUUAAUUCGACGCAACGCGAAGAACCUUACCUGGGCUUGACAUGCUUGGGACAGCGCUGGAAACAGCGUCUCUCCUUCGGGAGCCCUUGCACAGGUGCUGCAUGGCUGUCGUCAGCUCGUGUCGUGAGAUGUUGGGUUAAGUCCCGCAACGAGCGCAACCCUCGUUACUAGUUGCCAUCAGUUCGGCUGGGCACUCUAGUGAGACUGCCGGUGAUAAACCGGAGGCCGGUGAGGAUGAUGUCAAGUCAUCAUGGCCCUUACGCCCAGGGCUACACACGUGCUACAAUGGUCGGCACAAAGGGUCGCUAAGCCGCGAGGUGGAGCUAAUCCCAAAAAGCCGGCCUCAGUUCGGAUUGGAGUCUGCAACCCGACUCCAUGAAGGCGGAAUCGCUAGUAAUCGCGGAUCAGCAUCCCGCGCUGAAUAUGUUCCCGGGGCUUGUACACACCGCCCGUCAUAUCACCCGAGUCGG